UGGUUCUGGCAUCGAUGAAGAACGCAGCGAAAUGCGAUAAGUAAUGUGAAUUGCAGAAUUCAGUGAAUCAUCGAAUCUUUGAACGCACAUUGCGCCUUUUGGUAUUCCGAAAGGCAUGCCUGUUCGAGCGCCGUUUCAUACCUCAAGCUUCUGCUUGGUGUUGACUGCUUAUCGUCAGAUACAGUCUAAACUCUUUGGCAUUUGUCUUACAAGUCUCUACGCGACAGAAUCUCGUUCUGACUACUAAGCACAAUUAGCCAGUGUCUUCGAAACGAUGGCCUCGGAUCAGGCAAGGUUACCCGCUGA
Molecule: unclassified non-coding RNA, 306 nt
Filed under: uncultured fungus
Lineage: Eukaryota; Fungi
Description: partial contains 5.8S ribosomal RNA and internal transcribed spacer 2
Rfam family: 5.8S ribosomal RNA (bases 1-133)
Source: RNAcentral